AAUCAAUGGCCGUUAGAGAUCGAAUACACAUUCAAAUAGAAGUUCCCCUGAGUCCCUUAUCACACCGAUCUGGCAUGGGUCUCUCAAUAAACCGUAGUUAUAGGCCUUUACACCAGUGAUUACAUCUUCUUUAAAACAAACCACCAGCUUUGGCCUCCUACUAUGUCACCGUUCGCUGCUCCACUUCAACCAUCACCACUACCACUGUUCACCACCGCCUAUUUCAUCUCCAUCAGCCACCAAUUUAUCCAUCUCUUUAGGUUUGGUUUUCAUCUUUAUUGCAUAUGUUUGUACUUUGCUUUCUUCCAUAUCUCACCUCUUUACUCUUUAGUACGCUAAUUACCGGCCACCAUCACUACCUAUACCACAUCACCCCACCUAACCACCCCCAACAUCAAUGCUUGUUCCACCUCUUAUCAUCCAUAAAGGUAUUCUUUGACAUUUCUUAAUCUUCUUUUAUUUAUCACACUGUGUUUCUAUUUUGUUCAAACAUUGGCAUCCACUAGAAGAUGCUUAGCAUUGAAAUUUCUUAACACCACCGUCAAUCGAAGCCUAAUCGAAGUUGUUACCACCACUUCUUCGAUUGGAAGGUAAUCAACUGUUCCCAUCAUCCAUUUAUUGAAAUUGUAUAUGUGGGAACAAAUGACCACUUAGUUUUGGUGAACUUGAAAUGAAAUUGACAGGUCAAGAGUUGAAAAAGUAUAGGAAAAUGUUUACAUUGCAGCCAAUAAAACAUCAUGUGGCAUCACAGUAAGUUUAGGGGUCAUCAGUGGAUAGACAGGUAAGCUGUUAAACUAUAUAUAUUUCAUUAUUUAUGUGAAUUGAUAACUUGACAGUGUUAUGCUCUAGAUUGAAUAAUCAUUGUGGUUUUUAUGAAAGUGGUGCACAACAAGCUGUAGGAAUACAAGUCAGGCGUUAAAACCUAAUACACUUUGAUUUUUUCUAAUGGAAGCCUGAAACUUAGAUCCAAGAAGGUCAGUCUUUUUAUUAAUAAUAAAAUUGGGAUGAACAACAGGAAAUGAAUAUCUAUAUUUUAUUUGUUCUUACAUAAACCCCUCUCUAAUUUGGUUUGUUACACUCUCGAUCUUGAUAUUUUUCAAACAUGAUAGAGGAGAAAGCCUAUGACUUCAAGCCCUAAAUUUCAACUUAAAGGUACAUCUUCCUUUCAAAUCACACUAUCAAGAGAUAAAAAAUGGAAGCAAGAUCUUUUUGGUCACUCUUUGCUAAUUAUCAGCUUUGUUUUAAGAACUUAGAAGGGCAUUAAUGUCAAAAAAACUAAGUUAUUCUUUUUUUUCUUUUUGUUAAUUUAUGUUGCAGGUAUUGGUUAGCUAGUAAUGCAAUGAUGAUUAGAUUGCGUAAUGUGAAGCUUUAGAUGGAUUUAUUUGUAAAAAAUACUUGGGAUCUCUACGAAAGUACAAGUAAAUUCUUUGCCCUUAAAAUCUUUAUAAUUUGAUGAUUUUAUCAUUCAAGCAGAUAAAUUGUGAUGAACAACUGCAAAUUGAUUAGGAUCUUUCUAAAAGGCAAAAUGGUCCUUUUUUGGUUAUUAUUAAAGAUGACAAGUUUAUUCUUGGUUUUAUGGUUAUGGAUUGGUAAAAUGGGAAAAUGCAAUAAAGGCACAAUGCAUGCUGAAAUUUAUGACAAUGGCUGAUCUGUCUAACUCUUUUCCUUUACUGUCUUUAUAACUGUAUGUGUAUGUGUGUUGAACUUUAUUCAAUUUAUUCAGUUUAAAAUCAAUAAAAAUAGAUCCAGUAACCCUGGAAAGAAUCACAGACAAUAGGACCAAAACAUGAUGGUUUAUACGAAGAUAACAAAACUCGUGACGGGAAGACAAUAGUAAAAUUACCAAAAUAACCUCCAUAUUGUUAAGGUAUAAAGGGAAAGAAAAGGUGAAUGAAGGUGGUGUGGAGAAUGAACAUGUUAUUAAUUCUCCAGGGUCACCAGUAACUCAUGCUCUCUAAUAUUGUUCAUCAUAUUCUAUGUUCAAUCACCAAUCACAUGUUGCAAGCUUGAACUAAAUGCAAGAUUCCAUUGAUACAAAUAGGAUGUAAAUAGCAAUGUAUUGUCAUUGAUAUGUGAUUAUAUUUUAUUUUUACCUGAUUAUAUAAGAGUUGAAUAUUGAGAUAAAUUUAUACUUUAUAUAAGGAAAAUUUUGAACACACAUUUAGAAAGUAAUAAUCUGAUUUCAAAUAAUCACACUAGAUAAGACAUAGAACCUGGAUGUACUUUUUCAACAUUAUAAAACCCUUAAUACCUUAACAACAAGUCAAUAUAUGUUAAGUAUUAAUGAGUAAAGUUAAGUGUAAAGUGUUUUGCUCCUUUUUCGAUUUUUAUGUUAAAAAUAGACUUUUUAUAUAUGCUAAUGAGUUUGACCUAUAAUGACCUCAUGUGUUUGACUUUCAUAAAAUUGACUUUUAAUCUAAAUCAAGUCUUGUCUUAUAUGAAAGUUAAGCAGGAAGAUAAACAUAAGAACAAGUUGAG
This 2478-nucleotide long non-coding RNA is filed under the name Lactuca sativa (garden lettuce). RNAcentral's name for it is "long non-coding RNA (LSAT_LNC007414)". The record is from RNAcentral. Lineage: Eukaryota; Viridiplantae; Streptophyta; Magnoliopsida; Asterales; Asteraceae.